GGGGAAGGGCUAGGGUAGGACUCAGGUAAUGCAGGCUGGAUUGUCAUCCUAGACCAGGGAUUCUCCAGGGAGAGGCUGGAAGAGGAUAAGGGAAGAAGAAGGUCAGUGACAGGUAUGGGGGAGAGAGCCCACCUGCUUGUUGAAAGGAGGGUACUUCACCCAGUGGUGGCCUCCUUUAUCACGUCAUCUUGGUUCUGAAUUUGAGUCUUUGCCAGGUCACAAUCCCACCUAGAAUUUUAGAAAUUCUAUGUCUUCCAUCAAGUCCAGCUUUUGUGUCCUUCACAUCCUACCAGCCCAACAGCUCUGUGCAGGCAGCUGAACCCACCAGCACCCUGGAUUGGACCCAGGUCUGCUAGCUGCCUCUUGAGGAGAGAUGCUGACCCGAGGGUGCCAGGCUGGAAGUACCAGGAAUUUGUACCCCCAGGGAAAACCUUGACCACUGGGAGACUGCCAGCAGAGAAGAGAGAUAUUUCAAGUUGUCUGCACAGUGUCGUGUGUCUCCUCUCCUAAACACAGACUCGGAUUUCUGGAUAUUGAAUGGACCUGGUUGGAGGCCAGAAUGCUUGGAGUAUCUGGGCCAGCUCAUGCCAAACUCUUGGCAGGAAACCAGAUUGAGUACUCCAGGCCCCAGUGAUAGAACCCAGCAUCCCAAUCUAUUUUAUGACCCUGGCUUCUCAUCAAGCAAAGCCUCGUGUGUAAAAUGAAAGUAAUAGCAGUGCUGUUGGGAUGAACACACAGAUGCAGGUGCUGUUGGCAGUGGAGGAGGCUUAUGCAUGUGUGGAGCAGCAGAAGGUGUAUGGAAGAUCUCUGGACUUUUCACUCAGUAUAAUCUUCCCAGAAAAGCUAAUACACUGACUGCACUAUAUUAGAAGACAGAAGAAAAUGCAUUUGGGAGAAGACUUUUACAGAGGAGAGCUCUUUCAUUUAUAUGAUCCAGUCUUCAGAGAUAUUGGUUGUGUGAGUGUAUCCUAAAGUUGCCUGAAUGUAAGAAUUAGCUAGAAUACUUAUUUAAAAUACAAACCCAAGACCUCUUCCCUUGAGAGUGUAGUUUGGUUAAUCUGAGGUUUUAUCCAAGUCAAUUGUAAAAUUUAGUGAUGAUGGCUAAUGUUAACUGGGUGCUUACUAUGUACCCAGCAUGGUUCCAAGUCCUUCAUAUAUACAAGCUAGAUCAUUACCACACUUUUAAGGGGCAGUUACUAAAACCACCUCCAUAUUAGAGAUGAGAAGCUAAGCAGAAAGAGGCUAAGGUCACAGAACUAGUAAGUAAAGAAACGAGUACAUGUACUGUGAAGCUAUGGGCUUCAGAGCCCAGGCUUUUAAUCAUUUCAGUUUCCUGCUUCACCUUAUACACAGCUGCAUUAUGUGUAGAUCAAAGGCUUUAUUCACAUCACCAAAGCAGAAAGGGUGGUUUUCCGUUUUGUACAUUUGACACUGUGCUUCAGAAAGUGGUGCCAUUUUAAAAUGUAUAUUUAAAAAGCAUAAGAGGAGAAAAGGUGUUUUUAAAAAAAAACAAGCAAAAAACCCAGAACAUCAGCUAUUAUAGAGAAAGCUUCAAGUGGCCUCCUACUCAUGUAAUUGGGGUUCCUGAAGGCAAAGAGAGGGAUAAUAAGUAUUUGAUGAAGUAAUGGCCAGUUUUUUGCCCCAAAUUGAGGAAAACUGUGAACCCACACAGCUGUGAAGCUCAAGAAACUACAAAUGUAUGAAGCAUGAAGAAAUGUAAACAAAAGCUUAUUAUAAUAAAAUUGCUUAAAACCAGUGGUAAAGAAGAAAAAAUUGAAAGUUGCCAAAGGAAUAAAAAGACAUGCCAUAUGCUAAGCAACAAAGAUAAGAAUGUCAGAAGACUUCUCACUGAAAAGAAUGCAAGAAAGAAAGAAACAGUAGAAUGGUAUCUUUAAAGUAUUGAAGGAAAAAGAGCUGUCAGUUUAGACUUUUUAAAAGAUUUUAUUUCUUUAUUUGAAAGGCAGAGUUGCAGAAGCAGAGGGGGAGAGAGAGAGAGAGACGUGGGGAGAGAGAGAACGUCCAUCUGCUGGUUCACUACCCAAAUGGCUGCCAACAGCCAGGGUUGAGCCAGACCUAAGCCAGGAGUCAGGGGCUUCAUCCAGGUUCUCUCACUUUGGUGGGAGUAUUUGGGCCAUCUUUGCUGCUCCCCCAGACAUGUUAGCAAGGAGCUGGAUUGAAAGUGGAGCAGCUAGAACUCAAAUUGGCACCCAUGUGGGAUGCCAGCACUGCAGGCAGUUGUUUUACCUGCUAAGUCACAGUGCCAGCCCCAAUUUAGAUUUCUGUAUCCAGUGAAAAUGUGUCAAAAAAGAAGGCAAGGGUCCUGUGCUGUGGUGUGUUUGGCUAAGCCUCUACCUGUGGCACUGGCAUCCCUUCAAGUCCCUGCUGCUCUUCUUCUGAUCCAGCUCUCUGCUUGUGGCCUGGGACAGCAGUGGAAGAUGGCCCAAGUGCUUGGGCCCCUGCACCCUCGUGGGAGACCCAGAAGAAGCUCCAGGCUCCUGGCUUUGGAUCAGCCCAGCUUCAGCCAUGGCAGUCAUUUGGGGAGUGAAUCACUGGAUGGGAAUUCUCUCUCUCUCUCUCUCUCUCUCUAACUCUGCCUUUCAAAGAAAUCUUAAAUUUUUUUUUUUUAAAAGAAGAUUCAAGUUCAGAAACCAAAAGCUACUUUUUAGUGGUAGGCCAUGGCUGGGUCCUUUCACAAGUCAGUUGCUUUCUCCUUUGAGGAAUGACUUAGGAUCAACAUUACUAAAGCUAGGAAAAUGAGAUUUGUGAUAGCUAUAAUAUAUCCUUUUAUAGUCAAGUCAUUAUUGCUAGAUCUAUUACUAUGUCCAUGUGGGAGGUAAAUCAGUGCUUGUGGAUCUACAAUAAUAUAAGAAACACAGGAAUCAACACUUUCAUCUCUGGAAACAUUUGCCGUGCCCUUCAUUUCUUUGAGUAUAUUCAGAUAUCUCUCUGAUACCAUUUUCUUCUGCUGGAAGGAUUCCUUUAAUAUUUCUUGCAGUGCAGAUCUGAUGAUGAUUAAUUCAUUCAGCUUUGGUAUAUCUGGAAAAAGUAUUUUUCAUUUUUUAAAAGAUCGUAUUUAUUUGAGGGGUAGAGUUACAGACUGAGGGAAAGGCAGAGAAAAAUGUGGGGAGCAGGGCCUGUCUCCCGCAACAUGGCGAAGUGGGUGCUGGGACUGCCGAGACUAGACUAGACCACUGAGACUAUUAAGACUAACUAUGCAUCUGAUCUCCCAUCAUAUGGCGCUGAGAGAGAGUAAACAAAUCUCACACAGCUGCCUUGUCAAUUAGCUGGUUCCUGGCCCAACCCCUUAAAAGGGGGAGAGAGACAACAUGCGCGGCCGCGCCCCCCUGGAGAGUUGGUCGGAGAGCUUGCCGGUGCCGCUCCUCCGACAGCAAUGGUCAGAGGUGGGCCAAUCUGAAGCCAGGAGCCAGGAGCUUCUUCCAGGUCUCUCCUGUGGGCUCCCCCGUUUUCCCAGGUGUAUUAGCAGGGAGCUGGAUCAGAAGUGGGGCAGCUGGAACUUCAACCAGGGCCCUUAGGGGAUACUAGCACUGCAGGCAGUAUUUUAACCCACUGUGCCAGAGCUCCAGUCUUUCCUUUCUUAUUUGAGUGAAUUCCAGCUUUUUGACAUUCUUGAGAGGAGGCAAAUAUCACUGAAUAGACACUGGCAAAGAGGCAUUUUGGAUGCAAGUCAACUAUUUUCACAAGCUCAGUUUCAUUCUUCUUCAUCAACAUCCUUUGCAUAGCCUGGGUGCUUCCAAUUACUUCCAUCUGACAUUGCCCCCCUGUAGCAGUGACUCACACAUUUGUUGGAGCAUGAUUUGUCAGUAAUACAGUGAGUGUAAACAUGACAACAAGAGGGAAUCAGUGUUCCCAGCCAACAUUUCUCUAAUAACAGUCUGAGGAAUAUAUUUAAUUGGUCAGAUAUAUUUAAUUGGCUUCUUUGGUAAUCUAUCUUCUAUGCUGACUAUUAAUAUUAUAGACAUACUUAACAUCUUUUGGGCACUUCAAAAUGUUAAUGAAAAAUGAAAUUUAAAAUGAGUUCAUUUUGGAGUAAAACAAUUUUGAAAUCUAUGCAGACUAUUUUCAAAAUAUGUAUUUUCCACAUAGUCUGAAAAGGAAAUUUUUUACAUAAAAAAUUGCACCAAAAUAAGCUCUUCCUUUUAGUUGUGUUUUUUCCAUUAACGUUUAAAAUGGCCCCAUAUUAAAAGGCAGAGAAAAGAAAGCCCUAAAAAAUGCAACUGGAGGGCUUCUGGUCCAUAAAACAUCUGAGUAGUACAGUAGCAUAACCUGAGAGCAGCCCAUUUAUUAGCCCAGAUUUUCAAACAUCUUUUCCUGUUUAUAACAUCAUCAUAUCAAAGGAUCCUGCACCAAAUUGCAAUACAGUCCCUAUUAAUACCCAUCUGAAGCUUGUCUAUAUGGAUCAACAAAAUCAUCCACUGUGAACAAUUUGAACAUAUAAUCACAUUGUAUACAACAAGGAAUCCCUUUUUCAUAUCUAAACUCACCCCAGUGAUUAGGUAGUUGGGCCAUGUUAUAUGUAAAUAUUGUAAGCUAAGAGACUACGGGAAAAUCAGUAAACAGCACUAGAAGUAUCAAUUUUCAUUCUCCCAUGUCCAGCCUCAUGAACCUUAAAGUCAGUUCCUUAUGCCUUCAUGCCUUUGCAUCCCUCCAACUUGGUAUACUACAUUAAAACUGUAAAUAGCUAAUAUCUUUAUAUUCAACCUUCCCAGCUCUUUCAGAGUAUGUCAUUUUAUUUUUUAACUUUUAUUUAAUAAAUAUAAAUUUCUAAAGUACAACUUUUGGAUUAUAGUGGCUUUUCCCCCCUCAUAACCUUCCACCCACCCACAACCAUCCCAUCUCCCUCUCCCUCUCCCCUUCCAUUCACAUCAAGAUUCAUUUUCAAUUAUCUUUAUAUAUAGAAGAUCAAUUUAGUAUAUACUAAGUAAAGAUUUCAACAGUUUGCACCCACACAGAAACACAAAGUAUAAAGGACUGUGUGAGUACUAGUUAUACCGUUAAUUCACAUUGUACAACACAUUAAGGACAGAGAUCCUACAUGAGGAGUAAGUGCACAGUGAUUCCUGUUGUUGACUUAACAAUUGACACUCUUAUUUAUGGCAUCAGUAAUCACCUGAGGCUCUUGUCAUGGGUUGCUAAGGCUAUGGAAGCCUCUUGAGUUCGCCAACUCCAAUCUUAUUUAGACAAGGUCAUAGUCAAAGUGGAAGUUCUCUCCUCCUUUCAGAGAAAGGUCCCUCCUUCUUUGAUGGCCCGUUCUUUCUGCUGGGAUCUCACUCACAGAGAUCUUUCAUUUAGGCCAAUUUUUUUUGCCAGAUAUCUUGGCUUUCCAUGCCUGAAAUAGAGUAUGUCAUUUUAAAUACCACUCUACUGGGGCCGGUGCGUGGCGCAGCAGGUUAAUCCUCCAGCAUCCCAUAUGGGUGCCGGUCCUAGUCCCGCCUGCCCCUCUUCCAAUCCAGCUCUCUGCUAUGGCCUGGGAAAACAGCUGAAGUUGGCCCAAGUGCUUGGGCCCCUGAACCCACAUGGGAGACUGGGAAGAAGCACCUGGCUCCUGGCUUCAGAUCAGCACAGCUCCAGCCAUUGCGGCCAUUUUGGGGAGU
This is a non-coding RNA of Oryctolagus cuniculus (rabbit), 5612 nucleotides long. The record is from RefSeq and is a predicted model, not a curated record. NCBI's taxonomy places the organism in Eukaryota, Metazoa, Chordata, Mammalia, Lagomorpha, Leporidae.